AAGGUGAAGUUGCUUCCAAGAACAAAGCCAUUGGAAAAUUUGGAACCACCUACUGUUGAUCACAAGCAGGGAUACCAACAGCUGAGUAACUCUGCCAAUGGUCAUGUUGAAACUAGUGAAUUGCAUGGAAGUGUCAAUGCUGCAAAUUCUGGUUUAGCUAAUUUGGAGAGUGAGUAUCAGGUGAUAGAGCGUCCAAAAUUGAAUUUGAAGUCACGGUCGCAACCUGUUGAACAAUCUGAAGGGAACACAGAAAUGGGAAGGUGACUUCAAAUUCAAUUUUGGACGCUCUAUCAAGUGGUUCUGAAGGAGCGAGGAAUUGACAAUGCUGCUAUUAGAAACCAUGGCAUGGGUCAGCAUCCAGAUAGGGUCAAGCAUAAUCUUUCCAGGACUGAAAGAGUUCCUGAGCAUGCAGUUCCUAUUCAACAUGGUGAAAGGACUGACAAUAUUCCUCCAGAUCAAAGGACUGGAAAGAAAAUUGAGAGGAAAGAUCAGCAAGUCGACAUUGAGAGAGUUGAUAAACAGAGGAGGAAUUGGCGAAAUGAGAACUGGAGGAACAACAGGGAGACUGAGAGGCAGCAGCAGCCGCAAUUGCAGCAGGGGAGGCCUCCUUCACCUGAGACCUGGCGUAAGCCAGUUGAGCAACCAAAACCAGCCUCACCUGAUGCUACUGGUUUGCGCUAUGGAAAAACAGCUUCAGCCUUGGAGCUUGCCCAAGCA
RNAcentral lists this unclassified non-coding RNA (717 nucleotides) under Hevea brasiliensis (rubber tree). Lineage: Eukaryota; Viridiplantae; Streptophyta; Magnoliopsida; Malpighiales; Euphorbiaceae. The record is from RNAcentral.